CUGGGUCCGCCGCCGCCAAGCCCGAGUACAGCCAGAGCAUCGGCAGCAGCGGAGCGUUGCUUGGCUUUUGUCUCCGUACGCUUUCUUCCUUUCCUUCCAAACUUCUGGACGCUCUCUCCGAGCUGUAUUUAUAGACCUGGAGCCCACGGCUGUAUUUUUCCUUUUGCCUCCUUUGGCUUGGGCUUAAGUUACUGGCGGGGAAAAUAAAAAAGGAGGCAGGCAUGCAGGCGGGCAAACGGGAGGAUAGAAGAGGGGAAAGCUGGAGGUGCCGCAGGCGGGACUCGAGGGGAGGCUGGGGCAGGCUGCCGGAGAGAGGGUGGAUGCUGAAAGUCUCUAACAAAAUAUCUCAGUAACGUGGAUGGUGCAAUUAUCAUGUUGUUGAGCAUUUCCUUAUUGACGUGCACCACACAUAGCGUCUAAUCUCCAAAAUGUAUGUCAAAGCAGUUUCUCGGUUUCUGACGUGUUUAGAGAGCCUGUCCUGCAGGCUUUCCAGAGAGUUUGACGCCUGCAGAGAUCUUCCUGCAGGGCUUUUCCGCAGAGCUGUCAGUUUCCUGCAGUCUAAGCUUUGCCCUGUGCGCUCGAGGAUACCCUCUCAUCACGGACAGAAAUGCCCUGUGGAAUAUGCAGCCUUCAGUGAAGUUCUGCAGAAGAGAUCCUUCCACAAGAAAAAGUCAGAGACCAAACACCACUUAAAUAGGAUACACACAGAAGUGUGGUGAGAUCCAGAGCAUGCCCAUGAAAUCAUCUGUUUAUUUAUGAUAAGAAACUCACUUCCUCUUGGAUAACCUCAGGAUUUCUUUUGUUAAACCCUUGGCAGCUUAAAAGUCAUCUUGCUUUCCAGCGUCUGAGCCUUCUUCCUUUCUCUUCCUUCUCUCUUCCCCAUACAAGGGCCCCCUCUCUUCACUCAGCUCCCACUCUCCCUCUCAAAUGACAUUCUUUCUGUACUUGUCUGCACAAACAGCACAAGGCCCAGGCUGUGCUUCUGUAAGCCAGGAAUAAUGCCUUAGUCUUUUGCAGUGAUUGAUGCACUAUCCAUGGAGAAUACUGUGCCAUGGUCAGAGAGGUUCACAAAGCCAUGCACCGUUAGGAUACCUGCUGGUCUGCUUUUUACUUUCACUGUAACUUAAAUAGAAAAAUGUGGUAAAUGUUCCAUAAGUAUAUGGUCUUCGUGGUUCUUGUUGUUGUUGUUGUUGUAAAGUUGUAGCUCACGAUUUCAAGUCAGAUUCCAGGGAGCUCCAAGCAGCUCACAUUUCCUCUCCUAAACCUUUGGCCUGACAUUACACAAGUACCUUCCAUGCGUAUGCAAAGACUAGAAUACAGCUAGAAUACUAGAGUACAGAAUACAGGAUGUUCAUACUUGCCCAGCUUGGGUGAGUAGUGACAUUGUGUUUUACCUUAUGCCUGAGCCUGCACCUGAGGCAUGCAGGCAUCUAUUACAGGACAAUUUCUAAAAGUUAAGAGAUUUACAGGACAAGUUCUAAAAGUUAAGAGAUUUCAAUUCCAUUGUGAUCUUGAGUAGCUGAGUUCUUUAAUAUUACCAGGGAAGUUCCCAUUUCCAUCAAGUCAACAGCAGAAUUCUCAUUAACUUCAGCAUUAAAUGGGAAUAUUCACUGAGCAUCUGUCAGGGGGAAAAAGAUAUGACACAAAUUUGAGAGUUUUAAAUACCUGUACUGAAAACCUUGAUCCAAACAUACUGAGAUGCUGGAAGUUCAGGAAAAG
Molecule: long non-coding RNA, 1719 nt
Organism: Cyanistes caeruleus (blue tit)
Lineage: Eukaryota; Metazoa; Chordata; Aves; Passeriformes; Paridae
Source: Ensembl